This 255-nucleotide ribosomal RNA is filed under the name uncultured bacterium. Its description in RNAcentral is "partial 16S ribosomal RNA". It matches the Rfam family "Bacterial small subunit ribosomal RNA", at positions 524 to 776 of the family's 1533-position model. The record is from RNAcentral.
GACAGAGGCCCCAAGCGUUAGGUGGAAUCACUGGGCUUAAAGCGUGUGUAGGCGGACGCCUAAGUGUCUUGUGAAAUCCCACGGCUCACCCGUGGAACUGCUGGGCAUACUGGGCGUCUUGGGCCAACUAGGGGCAGCCGGAACAAGCGGUGGAGCGGUGAAAUGCGUAGAUAUCGCUUGGAACGCCGAAGGUGAAAACAGGCUGGCUGGGGUUGCGCCGACGCGUGAGACACGAAAGCCAGGGGAGCAAACGGG